Molecule: ribosomal RNA, 195 nt
Filed under: uncultured bacterium
Lineage: Bacteria
Description: partial 16S ribosomal RNA
Rfam family: Bacterial small subunit ribosomal RNA
Source: RNAcentral
ACUCCUACGGGAGGCAGCAGUGGGGAAUUUUCCGCAAUGGGCGCAAGCCUGAUGGAGCAACACCGCGUGAGUGAAGAAGGGUUUCGGCUCGUAAAGCUCUGUUAUUGGAGAAGAACGUGCGUGAGAGUAACUGUUCACGCAGUGACGGUAUCCAACCAGAAAGUCACGGCUAACUACGUGCCAGCAGCCGCGGUA